GAAUCCAACAACAGAUAACCCAGUAGCAGAUUGAAAACCAAACAGAAAUAGCCCAGGAACACCAAAUGAAUAAUAGUAGCUCCGGAAGAUGGAUAUCAACAAAAACCCAAGAUAUAUCACACUGAAAACCCAGUAACACUCCAGAUGCACUCACAGUUAAAGCAAAAGUGAGGAAGAUGCAAGAAAAGUGGUAUUUUCGCUUGUGAACCCUCAAAGAAACGAAAUGAAACUUUGAAGUAAAGCUCAGCCUUAAACUUUCAAGGAGGAACUAAAAGAAAAAUGAUUUCUAUUCUUAA
This 296-nucleotide long non-coding RNA is filed under the name Nicotiana benthamiana. RNAcentral describes it as "long non-coding RNA (NBEN_LNC012501)". Lineage: Eukaryota; Viridiplantae; Streptophyta; Magnoliopsida; Solanales; Solanaceae. The record is from RNAcentral.